Molecule: long non-coding RNA, 339 nt
Organism: Lemur catta (Ring-tailed lemur)
Lineage: Eukaryota; Metazoa; Chordata; Mammalia; Primates; Lemuridae
Exons: 3
Source: RefSeq, a predicted model, not a curated record
GAUUUGUCUUAUUCCUGAUGAUGUUAGCAUUGACCGCUAAUGGUGGUAUCUGCUGUGUUUGAGAUUUGACUUGCUGAAUGAGCCAAGCAUAGUACCUGAAAUAAAUCUAACUCAGUCAGGUGAUACUGGCUUUAUAAAACUAUUUGGCAUCCACAGCUCAUGAGAAUUAUUCACAAAUAUCCCCUCUUGCCCCUGGGUUUUGUGAUUGGGACCUGAGUGUACUGGAUCUGACAUGUGGGCCCAUCCUCUGGGCCCUGGAGAUCAAUCCCUGAACAUAGCAGGGAGAAGCAUACUGUUCCCAAGUCCCUCCUGGGAUGCUCAAGCUGGAUCAAUGUCCCU